Molecule: ribosomal RNA, 468 nt
Filed under: uncultured bacterium
Lineage: Bacteria
Description: partial 16S ribosomal RNA
Rfam family: Bacterial small subunit ribosomal RNA
Source: RNAcentral
GACGAACGCUGGCGGCGUGCUUAACACAUGCAAGUCGAACGGAAAGGCCCUGCUUUUGCGGGGUGCUCGAGUGGCGAACGGGUGAGUAACACGUGAGUAACCUGCCCUUGACUUUGGGAUAACUUCGGGAAACUGGGGCUAAUACCGGAUAGGAGCUCCUGCUGCAUGGUGGGGGUUGGAAAGUUUCGGCGGUUGGGGAUGGACUCGCGGCUUAUCAGCUUGUUGGUGGGGUAGUGGCUUACCAAGGCUUUGACGGGUAGCCGGCCUGAGAGGGUGACCGGCCACAUUGGGACUGAGAUACGGCCCAGACUCCUACGGGAGGCAGCAGUGGGGAAUAUUGCACAAUGGGCGGAAGCCUGAUGCAGCAACGCCGCGUGCGGGAUGACGGCCUUCGGGUUGUAAACCGCUUUCGCCUGUGACGAAGCGUGAGUGACGGUAAUGGGUAAAGAAGCACCGGCUAACUACGUG